UGGGGGAUAUUGCACAAUGGACGCAAGUCUGAUGCAGCGACGCCGCGUGAGUGAAGAAGUAUUUCGGUAUGUAAAGCUCUAUCAGCAGGGAAGAAAGGCCUCGCAAGAGGAGAUGACGGUACCUGAGUAAGAAGCCCCGGCUAACUACGUGCCAGCAGCCGCGGUAAUACGUAGGGGGCAAGCGUUAUCCGGAUUUACUGGGUGUAAAGGGAGCGCAGACGGAACAGCAAGUCUGAUGUGAAAGCCCGGGGCUCACCCCCGGGACUGCAUUGGAAACUACUGAUCUAGAGUACUGGAGGGGCAAGCGGAAUUCCUGGUGUAGCGGUGAAAUGCGUAGAUAUCAGGAGGAACACCGGUGGCGAAGGCGGCUUGCUGGACAGUAACUGACGUUGAGGCUCGAAAGCGUGGGGAGCAAACAGGAUUAGAUACCCUGGUA
This 436-nucleotide ribosomal RNA is filed under the name uncultured bacterium. RNAcentral describes it as "bacterial SSU rRNA". It matches the Rfam family "Bacterial small subunit ribosomal RNA", at positions 355 to 792 of the family's 1533-position model. The record is from RNAcentral.